This 1280-nucleotide long non-coding RNA is filed under the name Capsicum annuum. RNAcentral describes it as "long non-coding RNA (CANN_LNC012999)". The record is from RNAcentral. Lineage: Eukaryota; Viridiplantae; Streptophyta; Magnoliopsida; Solanales; Solanaceae.
UGUAUCUAAGCUAAGGGGCAUAGCUUUUACUAAAAUGAUUUUCAUUAUCUUACUUUAAGUAAUGGGACUACCCUAAUAGGUUUUUCUCUCCGGGUAAGCAAGUGAAGUAAGCUCCCCCGCCUAGUUCCCUUGUAAAGAAAGUGUACUAGUAGGGCAUAGUUCCCUCAAGCCAGUGUUUCCUUUGCUAUCGGUCCCGGCGAGCCGGGAGAAAGUUUACAUUCAUUUCCAGGGGAGGGGAAACCCUAUGCAUAGUGAUAAAGGCGUAAGACCUCCAACUCAAAUGAAGGGAGUAAGGUUGACUCCGGUCCCUUCGUCCCUCAUCUAGACCGACAGCAAAAGCAACUGAAACUGUCCAGAACAAACAACAACUACAACUAAAACCAUUGGGAAUCAAAGAAAGCAAAAAAUCUAUAUUCUUAUAUGUAACCAGCCCUAGGAAAGGGGCACUCUAGUGCAUAAACUUAUUUCGACGAAAAAAAGGGGGCACGGAAAUAAACUUGGCAGUCAAUCACUGUCCUGUGAUAUUGACUAAUUAUUAUUAUUAUUAUGAAAUACCAUAUUCUAUUAAGUCAGUUAUAGUAGACUAGGAAUCCAGAAAACUUCAAAUCAAGAGGUCAUACUCCGCCAACUACGCUUGGUUAAAGCUUUAUCCCGGUUUGUUUCAUUUGCUUUCAAGUCUAGUGGAAUCACUAUGAUAGCUUUCCCCGGGAUCACAAAACACUAUUCUAUUAGGUCACGAACUCGUGCCCCAUUCUCUCUGACCGAGGCGCUAGAUCUUCUAUCUAUUCGAUUGACCCUAAAGCUAGGAAGACUGCCCUACCUUCGACUGAGAGUGUCUUCGCCUAGAAACUCUUCUUGCGUACUUGACUUAUAGGCUUGACGCCCAUUUCCUCUAGGCUAGUUCAUUCCCGGAAAAGAAAACUAGUUGAAUUAGCGAGGAUCCUUAAGAAAGCGGGUGCCAUUCUGUCAGCUUCGUCCCAAUGGAUAUCUCUUCUCUCAAACAGCAACCUAAGGAAUCUCUCUUUCCACAUGAGGUUUGAGGGAUAAGGUCUUCUGGAAACCUUUUGAAGUGGGCAAACCAAGUCAAAGAAAGAAGCAACUCUCCCAGGACCGGAGAAGCUCAAUUUCAAAGGUUAGGAGUUUAGUUCUGACUUGUACUGCCGAGGAGCGAUUCCUCUGAAUGGCAAGUAUGAUUUCAACUGCCCGUCCUUCGGAGAAUGAAGUCAGGGAGUGAGGAGACAGAAAAAAUAUUUUCAUACCUUAAACCUAUAGCUAUUAAC